CACGUAGGGUGCGAGCGUUGUCCGGAAUUAUUGGGCGUAAAGAGCUCGUAGGCGGUGUGUCGCGUCGGCCGUGAAAACCUGCAGCUUAACUGUGGGCUUGCGGUCGAUACGGGCAUCACUGGAGUUCGGCAGGGGAGACUGGAAUUCCUGGUGUAGCGGUGAAAUGCACAGAUAUCUGGAGGAACACCGGUGGCGAAGGCGGCAUCCUGGACCAAUUCUGACGCUGAGUGAGCGAAAGCCAGGGGAGCAAACGGG
Molecule: ribosomal RNA, 255 nt
Filed under: uncultured bacterium
Lineage: Bacteria
Description: partial 16S ribosomal RNA
Rfam family: Bacterial small subunit ribosomal RNA
Source: RNAcentral